UAGGGAAUCUUCCACAAUGGACGCAAGUCUGAUGGAGCAACGCCGCGUGAGUGAAGAAGGUUUUCGGAUCGUAAAGCUCUGUUGGUGAAGAAGGAUAGAGGCAGUAACUGGUCUUUAUUUGACGGUAAUCAACCAGAAAGUCACGGCUAACUACGUGCCAGCAGCCGCGGUAAUACGUAGGUGGCAAGCGUUGUCCGGAUUUAUUGGGCGUAAAGCGAGCGCAGGCGGAAUGAUAAGUCUGAUGUGAAAGCCCACGGCUCAACCGUGGAACUGCAUCGGAAACUGUCAUUCUUGAGUGCAGAAGAGGAGAGUGGAAUUCCAUGUGUAGCGGUGGAAUGCGUAGAUAUAUGGAAGAACACCAGUGGCGAAGGCGGCUCUCUGGUCUGCAACUGACGCUGAGGCUCGAAAGCAUGGGUAGCGAACAGG
This 426-nucleotide ribosomal RNA is filed under the name bacterium. RNAcentral's name for it is "partial 16S ribosomal RNA". It matches the Rfam family "Bacterial small subunit ribosomal RNA", at positions 355 to 776 of the family's 1533-position model. The record is from RNAcentral.